AGCGGGAAAAGCUCAAAUUUAAAAUCUGGCGGUGUUUGGCCGUCCGAGUUGUAGUCUGGAGAAGUGCUUUCCGCGCUGGACCGUGUAUAAGUCUCUUGGAACAGAGCGUCAUAGAGGGUGAGAAUCCCGUCUUUGACACGGACUACCAGUGCUKUGUGAUGCGCUCUCAAAGAGUCGAGUUGUUUGGGAAUGCAGCUCAAAAUGGGUGGUGAAUUCCAUCUAAAGCUAAAUAUUGGCGAGAGACCGAUAGCGAACAAGUACCGUGAGGGAAAGAUGAAAAGCACUUUGGAAAGAGAGUUAAACAGUACGUGAAAUUGCUGAAAGGGAAACGCUUGAAGUCAGUCGCGUUGUCCGGAACUCAGCCUUGCUUUUGCUUGGUGCACUUUCCGGAUGACGGGUCAGCAUCGAUUUUGACCGUCGGAAAAGGGCUGGAGUAAUGUGGCACCUCCGGGUGUGUUAUAGACUCUGGUCGCAUACGGCGGUUGGGAUCGAGGAACGCAGCGCGCCGCAAGGCAGGGGUUCGCCCACUUUCGCGCUUAGGAUGCUGGCAUAAUGGCUUUAAACGACCCGUCUUGAAACACGGACCAAGGAGUCUAACAUACCUGCGAGUGUUUGGGUGGAAAACCCGAGCGCGCAAUGAAAGUGAAAGUUGAGACCCCUGUCGUGGGGGGCAUCGACGCCCGGACCUGACGUUCUCUGACGGAUCCGCGGUAGAGCAUGUAUGUUGGGACCCGAAAGAUGGUGAACUAUGCCUGAAUAGGGUGAAGCCAGAGGAAACUCUGGUGGAGGCUCGUAGCGAUUCUGACGUGCAAAUCGAUCGUCAAAUUUGGGUAUAGGGGCGAAA
Molecule: ribosomal RNA, 844 nt
Filed under: Ganoderma sp.
Lineage: Eukaryota; Fungi; Basidiomycota; Agaricomycetes; Polyporales; Polyporaceae
Description: partial large subunit ribosomal RNA
Source: RNAcentral